CUAAUCGUAUGGCUUCUGGAGAUACUGCAUGUCUUGAGGCCGGGAGAGGUGGGAGGUACUCCGGGGGUAGCGGUAAAAUGCUAUAAUCCUCGGGGGACCACCGGUGGCGAAGGCGUCCCACUGGAACGGCCCUGACGGUGAGGAACGAAACCCAGGGGAGCGAGCCGGAUUAGAUACCCGGGUAGUCCUGGGCGUAAAUCAUGCGGAUAAAGUGUGGCAUUAUCUACGAGAUAAUGCUGUGCCGUAGGGAAGCCGUUAAGUCCGCCGUCUGGGGAGUACGGUCGCAAGGCUGAAACUUAAAGGAAUUGGCGGGGGAGCACCACAAGGGGUGGAGGCUGCGGUUUAAUUGGAUUCAACGCCGGACAACUCACCGGGGGCGACAGCAGUAUGAGGGCCAAGCUGACGACUUUGCCUGACAAGCUGAGAGGAGGUGCAUGGCCGCCGUCAGUUCGUACCGUGAGGUGUCCUGUUAAGUCAGGUAACGAACGAGACCCCUGCCCGCAGUUACCAGCAGAUGCUCAGGCAUGAUGGGGACUCUGCGGGGACCGCUUUUGCUAAAAAAGAGGAAGGAGGGGGCAACGGUAGGUCAGUAUGCCCCGAAUCUCCCGGGCUACACGCGGCCUACAAUGGGUGCGACGAUGAGUUCCGACCCCGAGAGGGGAAGGUAAUCCCCUAAACGCACUCUUAGUACGGAUCGAGGGCUGAAACCCGCCCUCGUGAAGCUGGA
This 727-nucleotide ribosomal RNA is filed under the name uncultured archaeon. Its description in RNAcentral is "bacterial SSU rRNA". It matches the Rfam family "Archaeal small subunit ribosomal RNA", at positions 559 to 1286 of the family's 1478-position model. The record is from RNAcentral.